AAGAUCAAUAAAACUGAUAAACCUUUAGCCAGACUUAUUAGGAAAAAAAAAGAAGACGGAAAUUGCUGACAGGAGAAUUGAGAGAAGUGGCAUGACUGUUCAGUCCCCAGAUGCUGAAAAUAUAAAAACGAGGAUGUUGUGAAGAACUUUAUGCCGACAAAUUCAACAACUCAAAUGAACAAAUUCCUUGAAAGACAUAAAUUACCAAAGCUUACUCAAGAAGAAUUAGAUAACCUUGUAGCCCUUUAUCUAUAAAAGAAAUUGAAUUUGUAAUUUAAAAAAAACUCUUUCACAAAGAAAACUCUGGGCCAAAUGGCUUCAGAGGUGAAUUAUAUCAAGUAUUAAAGAAGAAAUAAUACCAACUCUACACAACUCUUCCAUGAAAUUGGAAAGGAAGAAAUAUUUUCCAAUUUAUUCUAUGAGGUCAGCAAUGCCUUAAUACUAAAACUGGACAAAGACAUUACAAGCAAAGAAGACAGACCAAUAUCCUCAUGAACCUAGAAAAAUUCUAAACAAAAUUUUAGCAAAUUGAAUCCAGCAAUACGCCAAAAAGAAUAUCAUGGUAAAGCAGAGUUUAUCUCAGGAAUGCAAAAUAGGUUUAACACUCAAAAAUCAAUCAAUGAUCAAUAUAAUCCACUAUAUUGCUAAACUAUAAAGAAAAACCAUAUGAUCAUCUUAAUAGAUGCAGAAAAGGCAUCAGAAAAAAUCUAACAUAUCUUCCUGGAAAGGCUCUCAAUAAAGUAGGAAUUAAAGGGAACAUCCUCAAUAUUAUAAAGGGCAUAUACAAAAAACCAUACAGCUAAUAUCACACUUAAUGGUGUAAUAUUCAAGACUGAAUAUUUAUUACUUAAACCUGAAUUUCCCUCCCUAGAAUAAGACAGAAAUAAGACAAGGAUGUCUGCUCUCACCACUUCUAUUCAAUAUUGCACCAGAAUUCCUAGCCAGUGGAAUAAGUUAAGUAAAAUAAAUAAAAGACCAGAUUGUAAAAGAAGAAGUAAAGUUUUGUUUAUUUACAUAUGACAUGAUUGUCAACUAGAAAAUCCAAUGAAGUGUACAAAAAUGCUGUAAUAAGUGAGUUGAUCAAGGUGUAGAAUACAAGAUCGUUCUACAAAGAUGAGUUGCAUUUCUCUAUGCUAAAAUGAAUAAUCAGAAAAUGAUAUUUGAAAAAAGAUACCAUUUACAACAGUAUCAAAAUAUAUGAAAUACUAAGAAACUACAGAAAAUAACUGAGUUGGCAUCUUUUUAGAAAUCCAAAAUACUUGGGCAUAAAAUCUUAUGUAUUAUUGUGAAAUUUCAGAAGCACAAAAAUAAAAAUCCUGAAAAUUUCCACGGGAGUAAACAGAUCACCUAUAAAGAACUAAGAAUCAGACUGACAAGAGCCUUCUCAAUGGUCAAAACAUAAUGAAGUUAGAGGAAAAGGUUAGGAUAAUAAUAUUAAUUAAAUUCUCAUCUGACAUAGCAAAAAUUUGAUAGAUAUUGGUUUAAGGUGGCAAACUACUAAAUAAAGGUGUAAGCAUAUUAUUUAUAAAUGUGGAGCUAACCACCAGAAGGCCUAUCAAUAGAAUGGGUUAAAACUGGCUGCCUUUGGAAGUACGAUGAGAGAAGAAAAAGAUGGGGUAGGAAAUAAAUUUAAUAGGGAAUCAUUUAAUAACCCUAUUGGUAUUACUUGAUUGUUUUUAACUAUAUGUAUGAUCUCAAUGUGUUUUAAAAACACCUCAGUGGGUGCAUGGUGACAUCAGAGCCCAGAACAAAUUAAAUGGAUCCUUGAGUAACAUGGCUGCACUUUACAUAUGGCCAUGAACGUCUAUAUUACAGCUAGUAGCCGGCUGUUUUCUUCCCAAUAUAAGCUUCAAUUCGACUGAAUUUAUUGUGCUCUCUCCCUCCUGCCCCCCACCUCGCCCUGUCUCUCUCUGUCUCUCAUGGUGACAAAGAGCCUUGUUGCUCUUUGACUCUGACGGAACAAUGCUUAUGUGUGAAGCCAAAUGGUGUGGGGACAAGGUAGUCGGGCAAAGUAUGUGCUCUGGAUACACAGAUGAUGACCUCACACCAACAAGAACAUGCAGACACCCAAAAUUCUGUAUGAUUGAUUCAUUCUAAGUUGAUGCAAGAUUUUAAUCGAAAACUGCCUUAUUUUGCAGAAGAUUAACAAAGAGGAUGCGGUGCAGAAGUGAGUCCCUCAGCAGGAGAAGCUUCUCUCACACCAACCCAUUUAUGGCUGGGGGAAAAUACCCCGUUAGUUCAAGGAUAGCAAAUAAAUAGAUGGUGUGCAGCCUGGUACAGAUGGUAGAACAAGGACUACAUCCUUCACAAAAGGGAUGUGCCAACAAAAACAGCCUGCCCUCAACAGCAAGCUGACCCAACGCCCUGCUCGCUGACUCCUUUAUGCCGGCACCGGCACCGAGUGCCACGCUGCGUUUGCAAGCUAUUGUUCAGCAGGCAGAUUUUCUGCUGGGGGUUAACAGGUGAGAGCAGUGAUCCAAGAGCAAAAUAGAGAGGAUGCUUUUAGUUAAGCUGCCAAUGCUUAGCAAACACUUCUGAAAAUAUCACAGCUCAAUAUUGCAUCAUUCAUGAAUGGAAGAGCUGCAGGGUGGGGGGUGCUUGUUUCAAAAUGAUUUACCAAAGUAAGGAGAGAGUGCAGAAAUGCAGAAAUAAAAUAAUGUGGCUCA
RNAcentral lists this long non-coding RNA (2666 nucleotides) under Homo sapiens (human). RNAcentral's name for it is "HSALNT0385835". Lineage: Eukaryota; Metazoa; Chordata; Mammalia; Primates; Hominidae. The record is from RNAcentral.